RNAcentral lists this small nucleolar RNA (103 nucleotides) under Kwoniella mangroviensis CBS 10435. Its description in RNAcentral is "Small nucleolar RNA snR60/Z15/Z230/Z193/J17". It matches the Rfam family "Small nucleolar RNA snR60/Z15/Z230/Z193/J17". Rfam says of the family: The members of this family belong to the C/D class of snoRNAs which contain the C (UGAUGA) and D (CUGA) box motifs. Most of the members of the box C/D family function in directing site-specific 2'-O-methylation of substrate RNAs. The record is from Rfam by way of RNAcentral. Lineage: Eukaryota; Fungi; Basidiomycota; Tremellomycetes; Tremellales; Cryptococcaceae.
AUUAUCAUACGGAUGAUACACAAAUCAAGCAUAGUUCACUCUGAAUAAAUCAUGAACGAACUUUAACUAGAAAUUAGUCUUUCGCUCCUAUCUGAAUCUUUUC